ACGGGACACGAACCCGCACCUAAGGACUCAAAAUCCUAUGUACUGCCAUUAUACUACCUUCUAGUAAAGUCAGC
Molecule: transfer RNA, 74 nt
Filed under: Trachylepis maculilabris
Lineage: Eukaryota; Metazoa; Chordata; Lepidosauria; Squamata; Scincidae
Description: tRNA-Gln
Source: RNAcentral